Molecule: long non-coding RNA, 552 nt
Organism: Bradysia coprophila
Lineage: Eukaryota; Metazoa; Arthropoda; Insecta; Diptera; Sciaridae
Source: RefSeq, a predicted model, not a curated record
UAAUUGUGACGACCGCCGAGAAGAAUUGACUCUAUUUUCUCUUAAACCUUCGCGCACAUCAGACGUGAAAAUGAAAGUAAUCGUUUUGUUUCUGCUUCUCGCGAUAGCGACCACUACGACAUCAAGUGCAGUAGCUAUCAGUUCUGUUAAUCCCUCACUUGAUACACAAUUGAGCACCGAUCAAGAUUCUACGCCCAAGAAUGUGCGAGUUUCCAGAUCUUCUGAUGGAUUCGAUGUUGACGAAAUGCCUAAAGUAAAGUUAACGAGAGGAAAAUUUGCGGAUGAAAAGGUUAAUGUGAAUGGUGUGAAAAGAGACAGCGGAGGUGUGAUGACGAUUGUUCUCAAGUUUAUCAAAGAGCUGCUUGCCCAUUUUAAUAUAAAUUUAGAGAUGUAGGCUAGUCACUAUUUCUGACACUAAAAUAUUUUACUCCAUUGGCGGUAAUGGCGGUAUCAUCAACCACAUCAACUCAACAUUUAGUUUUGGUUAAAUCGAAAGUUGAAAAAGUUAUUAAAUUAAGUCGUUUAAAGGAUAAUAAACACUGUCCAAAACAA